This 694-nucleotide ribosomal RNA is filed under the name uncultured bacterium. Its description in RNAcentral is "bacterial SSU rRNA". It matches the Rfam family "Bacterial small subunit ribosomal RNA", at positions 32 to 715 of the family's 1533-position model. The record is from RNAcentral.
AACGCUAGCUACAGGCUUAACACAUGCNAGUCGCGGGGCAGCAUGUACUUGGCUUGCCAGGUAUGAUGGCGACCGGCGCACGGGUGAGUAACGCGUAUCCAACCUGCCCAUGUCCACGGGAUAGCCCGUCGAAAGGCGGAUUAAUACCGUAUGAGGUCACACGAUGGCAUCAGAAUGUGACGAAAGGUUUUGCGGACAUGGAUGGGGAUGCGUCCGAUUAGCUUGUUGGCGGGGUAACGGCCCACCAAGGCGUCGAUCGGUAGGGGUUCUGAGAGGAAGGUCCCCCACAUUGGAACUGAGACACGGUCCAAACUCCUACGGGAGGCAGCAGUGAGGAAUAUUGGUCAAUGGCCGGGAGGCUGAACCAGCCAAGUAGCGUGCAGGAUGACGGCCCUAUGGGUUGUAAACUGCUUUUAUGCGGGGAUAAAUGCCGGGACGUGUCCCGGUUUGCAGGUACCGCAUGAAUAAGGACCGGCUAAUUCCGUGCCAGCAGCCGCGGUAAUACGGAAGGUCCGGGCGUUAUCCGGAUUUAUUGGGUUUAAAGGGAGCGUAGGCCGGACUUUAAGCGUGUUGUGAAAAACCGUCGCUCAACGACGGUCGUGCAGCGCGAACUGGAGUCCUUGAGUGCGCUGAAAGUGGGCGGAAUUCGUGGUGUAGCGGUGAAAUGCUUAGAUAUCACGAAGAACUCCGAUUG